Molecule: small RNA, 449 nt
Filed under: Histoplasma capsulatum var. duboisii H88
Lineage: Eukaryota; Fungi; Ascomycota; Eurotiomycetes; Onygenales; Ajellomycetaceae
Description: Histoplasma capsulatum H88 hypothetical RNA
Source: RNAcentral
CUCCAAUUAUCCAGGUUGUGCCAGAAGCAUGCAACGAAGGUCCCAAUUCGCUGCCAUUUUUCAAAAGCUGAUUCUCGAACCAUGGGCCUGACCUCCAUCAUCGCAUGGGACCCUCGCCUCCAUGCAUAGCUAGGCCUUGGGAGGUUUAAUAUAUAUCCAGGCGAAAAUUUCCCGACCCACGGCAUUUCCCACUUGAAUUGGAACUAGAAAUGCGGUACUACCAGACGCGGUCCUACAUGUACUCUACAUAAUUGCUCGAACAGCAUGAGGAUAUAAUAUUGCCAUGGUUCAACAAGCCCAGUUAAUAUUUCUCAUAUAAAGCUCCGAAGGGACAUUUGAUCCCUAUAUAUCACGUACGGGGGUUGCUGGUGGUUUGUUUACUAACAUACAAACAUGCGAACCGUGCCAUCAUACGACAGACAAAGGAGAAAUAACAACAUCCACGGGUA